CAGUAGCCGCGGUAACACAGAGGGUGCGAGCGUUAAUCGGAUUUACUGGGCGUAAAGCGUGCGUAGGCGGCUUCUUAAGUCGGAUGUGAAAUCCCUGAGCUUAACUUAGGAAUUGCAUUCGAUACUGGGAAGCUAGAGUAUGGGAGAGGAUGGUAGAAUUCCAGGUGUAGCGGUGAAAUGCGUAGAGAUCUGGAGGAAUACCGAUGGCGAAGGCAGCCAUCUGGCCUAAUACUGACGCUGAGGUACGAAAGCAUGGGGAGCAAACAGGAUUAGAUACCCGGGUAGUCCCUGUCUCUUAUAC
Molecule: ribosomal RNA, 301 nt
Filed under: uncultured bacterium
Lineage: Bacteria
Description: partial 16S ribosomal RNA
Rfam family: Bacterial small subunit ribosomal RNA
Source: RNAcentral